This 30-nucleotide non-coding RNA is filed under the name Rattus norvegicus (Norway rat). Lineage: Eukaryota; Metazoa; Chordata; Mammalia; Rodentia; Muridae. The record is from RNAcentral.
UNGGACUACCCUUUUCAGUGUACAUGAGGU